Molecule: ribosomal RNA, 268 nt
Filed under: uncultured bacterium
Lineage: Bacteria
Description: partial 16S ribosomal RNA
Source: RNAcentral
CUGCUGCCUUCCGUAGGAGUCUGGUCCGUGUCUCAGUACCAGUGUGGGGGACCUUCCUCUCAGAACCCCUACGCAUCGUCGCCACGGUGGGCCGUUACCCCGCCGUCUAGCAAAUGCGCCGCAUGCCCAUCCUCUUCCGAUGAAUCUUUCCUCGAUCUCGGAUGCCCGAAACCGAUAUACGCGGGAUUAGCCUCCCUUUCGGAAGGUUGUCCCCCUGAAGAGGGCAGGUUGCAUACGUGUUACUCACCCGUGCGCCGGUCGCCGGCGG